This is a long non-coding RNA of Oncorhynchus gorbuscha (pink salmon), 2511 nucleotides long. RefSeq lists it as uncharacterized. The record is from RefSeq and is a predicted model, not a curated record. Lineage: Eukaryota; Metazoa; Chordata; Actinopteri; Salmoniformes; Salmonidae. The transcript is spliced from 2 exons.
UUGACCGGAAAUUCGUCACUCCUUCAUUCCGCAAUGAUUGUUUUCAGCCACUGGUAGCUUGUAGAUGCUUUAUAUGCUCUACAGUCAAUUAUGAUUGCAUGUCUACUUAUAGUAACUAUAUAAUUAUUAAUAUACGCCUACUGUAUUAUAGCUAGAAAAUGAAUUAGCUAACGUUAUCCUGCCUAGCUGGAACUUCUGAAGGAAAAUGUGUUAUUUCUACAAUUAACGCAGCUUAACAGCCCUCGGCCCUAAAAGUUUUACAUCGUCACAUCAGUGUACCUCGAAUCCCCCUUGCCCAAGCGAGGGAGCGUGAUGAUCAGAGAUGCAACGUCAUUGGUGGAAAUCUUGAAGUUGAGUUUAAAAACAACUAACCUAAAGCUAUUAAUGUACCUAGGAAGCUAACGUAUCUAGCUCGCUACAGUUACCUAGAGCUGGCUAGCUAGUUUUAUAGUUUGGUAAUUUAUUCCAAUACAUUUCAGAAUUGCAAACAAAUGUUUAUGAACGGAGCAACGUUUUAUAAGCUGCUCACUACGAGACUAAGCCAAUUUGCCAACGCUAAAAACAGUGUGUGUAUAUAAGCUAGCGUCAUACUUUUUUCUGACAUGCCGAAAAUGCAGCCUUGUUGAUUACAUUUGACACUUCACCGCCACCAAUGUGACUUGUUUGCAUUGAAGUGUGGGUCAUAACAACCCCGCAAGUGACAAAAGUUGUUCACUCGCUCCCUCGAGCUAAAUCUAGUGAAUUGGGCCUCCAUUUAGGAUGGCAAUCGAACUGCAUCCGGUUUCAACGUGGAUUCCCGAGAGAAAGUGGCAGCGCAAGGGCAGUAAUGCCGUGUAUGGAGGAUUGACAGGGAUGUACAGAUGAGCAAUGCCAGUGGAAUUGGGGACACAGUGGAAUUUAGCUCCAAAAAGGUUGAGCGAGAUCUUUUGAGUUCUCUGACAGCACCCCAGCCUCUUCACCAUCUCUACCUGCAACCCCUGCGUACCACUCCCACAACGUACUUAAGAAGAGUUUAGAAGGGGCCAAUGUUCCACUUGGAGCCUUCUGAAAUAGUGCAUCAAAGCUAAACCGAACAGUCAUCAUGUUCCAACAGCAGCCACACAGUGAACACGGCAUCAACACAGUAUCAGAAAUGCUUGUUUUGGCCUUUCUAGGGAGUUUUUCCUAGCCACCGUGCUUUUACACCUGCAUUGUUUGCUGUUUGGGGUUUUAGGCUGGGUUUCUGUACAGCACUUUGAGAUAUCAGCUGAUGUACGAAGGGCUAUAUAAAUAAAUUUGAUUUGAUUUGUAAUUUUAUGACUUUUAUGUUAAGCUGGAGGAGUGUAAAUGUGCCAGCUUGGAUGAGGUUACCAAAGCACAGAGUGCCUCCUAUGCAUGGUAUGACACACUUAUAUUUCAGAUCACUGCAAGCUCAGUAAAGAAUGUUCCUGUGCGCACCUCAACAAAUCCUAACCACUUUGUGCAGGAGCAUCUCUUCCCCAGGUUCCAUGGAAACUCAGAAACCACAUAUGGCAAGAAAAACGAGCAGGUGGCCUACACAUGGAUGGAGAGCUGUGGGUUUAGUUUGGAGUGUAGAGGCACAGUAGUGUGUCAAGGAGCCAUGUCUUUCUGCAAGCCCACAGAUGGAGUGUUAAACUCUCAAGAACUUCUAGAAAAUGUUCUGUUCUGAGUGAAGUGUGAGUCUCUGGCAAACUCCUCAACGUUAAGCUGGUGGAUGGAGUUCCUCAGCUGCAACAUAAUGGAGCCUGUGGGUACUACGUGCAGGAGCAAUUGGGCAUGUUCUGCACAGGACUGGAGAUAUGCAAACUGUUGUCUGGGCUCUGUCCGAGCUGGUUGUUAUUGAUGUGCCUAUUGAUGUGAAGUUCUGUGCUGAUGUUAUCCCUAAACUGAAGGCAUUCAUUUCCUACAUAUGCUGCCACGGGUAGUAUAUGAGUUCCAGUUAGGCAGACUGUGUGCUCAAAAUAUGUUAAUCUAUGUGGUUUCUAGGCUAAUACUUUGUUUUGAAAUAGUUCUUAUAUUUUGUGCCUUGUAAAUAUCUCUCUGUUAGCUCUACCUUAUUAUCUAGGCAUAACUCUUGGUGUUUUUUGUUGUCUUGCACAGUUCUCUUCAUAUGCACAUUUACCUGAUUGAUAUUUGCAUAAUUCUUCUUGGUGUUUUUUUAUGUCUUGCCUUGUACAGCUCUCUUCAUACAUGUUUAUCUAAUGCUUAAGGAUAACUCCUUAUGAUUUAUGAAUAUAUUAAUUGUACCUUGUAUAGCUCUUUAUUUUCAUUUGGCACUUCAUUAACUUAUCUAAGCAUACCAUAACGCAUCUUGCACUUGUGAAAUGAUGGCGUGAAAUUUUCUUUGAUACUUAACACAUUUCUUCCUGAAUUUCAAAAUGUUUUUCAGUUUGAUUCUGAGUUUAGUUUUCAAGGGCACAAAUUAAGAAAAGAGUGGCACUUGAUAAACAGUUGUCUUCCUUCUUGGUCUGUUAGAUAUUUUGGUGUUGAAUAAAUUUGAUUUUAAAUGGA